UAAAAAUUUGAAAAUAAUGUUUUGAGGGUACUCUCAUCACUAGAAAUUCAACAGCAAAAUAUCAGCAAUGUGGUUCUAUCUCUUCAUACUGUUUAAUUUGGCAUGCAUUUUACAACUGGCAUAUGGAAAUAAUUAUGGUAGUGGAAAUGCGGAUAUAAAACUGACAGAUAUUCCACCAGUUGUUUGAAGAUGUGCGAGCUAUAACACAGUACCGUAGAUAACUUAUAUUCUAUUGUUUAUUUCAAUGAUGUCAUGGAGGCAAAAAGGAUCACCGAUCUGUUGCUCCACACAUUUUUUGUAUGAAUAAAUAAAUAAUAAUGUAUCAGU
Long non-coding RNA from Nilaparvata lugens (brown planthopper), 327 nucleotides. RefSeq lists it as uncharacterized. The record is from RefSeq and is a predicted model, not a curated record. NCBI's taxonomy places the organism in Eukaryota, Metazoa, Arthropoda, Insecta, Hemiptera, Delphacidae. The transcript is spliced from 2 exons.